CCGGCGAUGUCCGAAUGGGGAAACCCAGUGCAAUUCGUUGCACUAUCGUUAACUGAAUACAUAGGUUAACGAGGCGAACCGGGGGAACUGAAACAUCUAAGUACCCCGAGGAAAAGAAAUCAACCGAGAUUCCCCCAGUAGCGGCGAGCGAACGGGGAGCAGCCCAGAGUCUGAAUCAGCUUGUGUGUUAGUGGAACGGUCUGGAAAGUCCGACGGUACAGGGUGAUAGUCCCGUACACCAAAAUGCACAGGCUGUGAACUCGAAGAGUAGGGCGGGACACGUGGUAUCCUGUCUGAAUAUGGGGGGACCAUCCUCCAAGGCUAAAUACUCCUGACUGACCGAUAGUGAACCAGUACCGUGAGGGAAAGGCGAAAAGAACCCCGGCGAGGGGAGUGAAAAAGAACCUGAAACCGUGUACGUACAAGCAGUGGGAGCACCUUCGGGUGUGACUGCGUACCUUUUGUAUAAUGGGUCAGCGACUUAUAUUCUGUAGCAAGGUUAACCGUAUAGGGGAGCCGCAGGGAAACCGAGUCUUAACUGGGCGUUAAGUUGCAGGGUAUAGACCCGAAACCCGGUGAUCUAGCCAUGGGCAGGUUGAAGGUUGGGUAACACUAACUGGAGGACCGAACCGACUAAUGUUGAAAAAUUAGCGGAUGACUUGUGGCUGGGGGUGAAAGGCCAAUCAAACCGGGAGAUAGCUGGUUCUCCCCGAAAGCUAUUUAGGUAGCGCCUCGUGAAUUCAUCUUCGGGGGUAGAGCACUGUUUCGGCUAGGGGGUCAUCCCGACUUACCAACCCGAUGCAAACUACGAAUACCGAAGAAUGUUAUCACGGGAGACACACGGCGGGUGCUAACGUCCGUCGUGAAGAGGGAAACAACCCAGACCGCCAGCUAAGGUCCCAAAGUCAUGGUUAAGUGGGAAACGAUGUGGGAAGGCACAGACAGCCAGGAUGUUGGCUUAGAAGCAGCCAUCAUUUAAAGAAAGCGUAAUAGCUCACUGGUCGAGUCGGCCUGCGCGGAAGAUGUAACGGGGCUAAACCAUGCACCGAAGCUGCGGCAGCGACACUAUGUGUUGUUGGGUAGGGGAGCGUUCUGUAAGCCUGCGAAGGUGACCUGUGAGGGUUGCUGGAGGUAUCAGAAGUGCGAAUGCUGACAUAAGUAACGAUAAAGCGGGUGAAAAGCCCGCUCGCCGGAAGACCAAGGGUUCCUGUCCAACGUUAAUCGGGGCAGGGUGAGUCGACCCCUAAGGCGAGGCCGAAAGGCGUAGUCGAUGGGAAACAGGUUAAUAUUCCUGUACUUGGUGUUACUGCGAAGGGGGGACGGAGAAGGCUAUGUUAGCCGGGCGACGGUUGUCCCGGUUUAAGCAUGUAGGCUGGUUGUCCAGGCAAAUCCGGAUAAUCAAGGCUGAGGUGUGAUGACGAGGCACUACGGUGCUGAAGUAACAAAUGCCCUGCUUCCAGGAAAAGCCUCUAAGCAUCAGGUAACAUCAAAUCGUACCCCAAACCGACACAGGUGGUCAGGUAGAGAAUACCAAGGCGCUUGAGAGAACUCGGGUGAAGGAACUAGGCAAAAUGGUGCCGUAACUUCGGGAGAAGGCACGCUGGUGUGUAGGUGAAGUCCCUGCGGAUGGAGCUGAGACCAGUCGAAGAUACCAGCUGGCUGCAACUGUUUAUUAAAAACACAGCACUGUGCAAACACGAAAGUGGACGUAUACGGUGUGACGCCUGCCCGGUGCCGGAAGGUUAAUUGAUGGGGUUAUCCGUAAGGAGAAGCUCUUGAUCGAAGCCCCGGUAAACGGCGGCCGUAACUAUAACGGUCCUAAGGUAGCGAAAUUCCUUGUCGGGUAAGUUCCGACCUGCACGAAUGGCGUAAUGAUGGCCAGGCUGUCUCCACCCGAGACUCAGUGAAAUUGAACUCGCUGUGAAGAUGCAGUGUACCCGCGGCAAGACGGAAAGACCCCGUGAACCUUUACUAUAGCUUGACACUGAACAUUGAGCCUUGAUGUGUAGGAUAGGUGGGAGGCUUUGAAGCGUGGACGCCAGUCUGCGUGGAGCCAACCUUGAAAUACCACCCUUUAAUGUUUGAUGUUCUAACGUUGGCCCCUUACCGGGGUUGCGGACAGUGUCUGGUGGGUAGUUUGACUGGGGCGGUCUCCUCCCAAAGCGUAACGGAGGAGCACGAAGGUUAGCUAAUCCUGGUCGGACAUCAGGAGGUUAGUGCAAUGGCAUAAGCUAGCUUGACUGCGAGCGUGACGGCGCGAGCAGGUGCGAAAGCAGGUCAUAGUGAUCCGGUGGUUCUGAAUGGAAGGGCCAUCGCUCAACGGAUAAAAGGUACUCCGGGGAUAACAGGCUGAUACCGCCCAAGAGUUCAUAUCGACGGCGGUGUUUGGCACCUCGAUGUCGGCUCAUCACAUCCUGGGGCUGAAGUAGGUCCCAAGGGUAUGGCUGUUCGCCAUUUAAAGUGGUACGCGAGCUGGGUUUAGAACGUCGUGAGACAGUUCGGUCCCUAUCUGCCGUGGGCGCUGGAGAAUUGAGGGGGGCUGCUCCUAGUACGAGAGGACCGGAGUGGACGCAUCACUGGUGUUCGGGUUGUCAUGCCAAUGGCACUGCCCGGUAGCUAAAUGCGGAAGAGAUAAGUGCUGAAAGCAUCUAAGCACGAAACUUGCCCCGAGAUGAGUUCUCCCUGAGACUUUAAGUCUCCUGAAGGAACGUUAAAGACGAUGACGUUGAUAGGCCGGGUGUGUAAGCGCAGCGAUGCGUUGAGCUAACCGGUACUAAUGAACCGUGAGGCUUAACCUU
This 2798-nucleotide ribosomal RNA is filed under the name Klebsiella pneumoniae. RNAcentral describes it as "bacterial LSU rRNA". It matches the Rfam family "Bacterial large subunit ribosomal RNA". Lineage: Bacteria; Pseudomonadati; Pseudomonadota; Gammaproteobacteria; Enterobacterales; Enterobacteriaceae. The record is from RNAcentral.